UACGUAGGGGGCAAGCGUUGUCCGGAUUUAUUGGGCGUAAAGAGCGUGUAGGCGGCCAUACAGGUCAGCUGUGAAAACUCGAGGCUCAACCUCGAGACGUCGGUUGAAACCGUAUGGCUAGAGUCCGGAAGAGGAGAGUGGAAUUCCCGGUGUAGCGGUGAAAUGACGCAGAUAUCAGGAAGAACACCCGUGGCGAAGGCGGUUCUCUGGGACGGUACUGACGCUGAGACGCGAAAGCGUGGGGAGCGAACAGG
This 254-nucleotide ribosomal RNA is filed under the name uncultured bacterium. RNAcentral's name for it is "partial 16S ribosomal RNA". It matches the Rfam family "Bacterial small subunit ribosomal RNA", at positions 524 to 776 of the family's 1533-position model. The record is from RNAcentral.